This 440-nucleotide ribosomal RNA is filed under the name uncultured bacterium. Its description in RNAcentral is "partial 16S ribosomal RNA". It matches the Rfam family "Bacterial small subunit ribosomal RNA", at positions 338 to 795 of the family's 1533-position model. The record is from RNAcentral.
CCUACGGGAGGCAGCAGUAGGGAAUAUUGCUCAAUGGGGGAAACCCUGAAGCAGCAACGCCGCGUGGAGGAUGAAGGUUUUCGGAUUGUAAACUCCUUUUGUUAGAGAAGAUAAUGACGGUAUCUAACGAAUAAGCACCGGCUAACUCCGUGCCAGCAGCCGCGGUAAUACGGAGGGUGCAAGCGUUACCCGGAAUCACUGGGCGUAAAGAGCGCGUAGGCGGGAUAGCAAGUCAGAUGUGAAAUCCUAUGGCUUAACCAUAGAACUGCAUUGGAAACUGUUAUUCUAGAGUAUGGGAGAGGUAGGUGGAAUUCUCGGUGUAGGGGUAAAAUCCGUAGAGAUCAAGAGGAAUACUCAUUGCGAAGGCGACCUACUAGAACAUAACUGACGCUGAGGCGCGAAAGCGUGGGGAGCAAACAGGAUUAGAUACCCCAGUAGUC